Molecule: ribosomal RNA, 538 nt
Filed under: Escherichia coli
Lineage: Bacteria; Pseudomonadati; Pseudomonadota; Gammaproteobacteria; Enterobacterales; Enterobacteriaceae
Description: partial 23S ribosomal RNA
Rfam family: Bacterial large subunit ribosomal RNA
Source: RNAcentral
UUAAGUUGCAGGGUAUAGACCCGAAACCCGGUGAUCUAGCCAUGGGCAGGUUGAAGGUUGGGUAACACUAACUGGAGGACCGAACCGACUAAUGUUGAAAAAUUAGCGGAUGACUUGUGGCUGGGGGUGAAAGGCCAAUCAAACCGGGAGAUAGCUGGUUCUCCCCGAAAGCUAUUUAGGUAGCGCCUCGUGAAUUCAUCUCCGGGGGUAGAGCACUGUUUCGGCAAGGGGGUCAUCCCGACUUACCAACCCGAUGCAAACUGCGAAUACCGGAGAAUGUUAUCACGGGAGACACACGGCGGGUGCUAACGUCCGUCGUGAAGAGGGAAACAACCCAGACCGCCAGCUAAGGUCCCAAAGUCAUGGUUAAGUGGGAAACGAUGUGGGAAGGCCCAGACAGCCAGGAUGUUGGCUUAGAAGCAGCCAUCAUUUAAAGAAAGCGUAAUAGCUCACUGGUCGAGUCGGCCUGCGCGGAAGAUGUAACGGGGCUAAACCAUGCACCGAAGCUGCGGCAGCGACGCUUAUGCGUUGUUGGGUA